Long non-coding RNA from Folsomia candida, 636 nucleotides. RefSeq lists it as uncharacterized. The record is from RefSeq and is a predicted model, not a curated record. The transcript has 2 exons. Lineage: Eukaryota; Metazoa; Arthropoda; Collembola; Entomobryomorpha; Isotomidae.
CCAUUUCUGUUUUCUUCUCGAACCGAUUUCGGACCAACUUGCUCAAGGACUUUGUGGGAACUGUGUGCCGAGACGAGAUCAAGAUCACACAGAUGGACAAAUCUCAAUUAGCCAUACACGUCAACCAACUCUGGGUGGACUGUGACCACGCAGCAUCCAAGAGGAGCGAGUCCGCCGAGUAGCUCUUAUCUGGAUGUCACAUUUCACGAGUGUGGACAUUAUUUCUGCCAAUGCACAUCUCGUCAAGAAGCAGUCAGAUAAGUAUGACUGUAGUCCACAAAGUCCAGGGACAUUUAUUUGCACUCGACACUUAGGCUUAUCGACCAAUCCCAAUAAAUUAAAUGGCCAUCCAGAACUGAAUAAAUGAGCCAUUUAUGACUAUCAAUGAAUCCCAGUUAAUGCAACAACAUGAUGAAUUAACUUAAUAAAUGAACUGGUUCUCCGACGCAUGAAUGAACUUUAGCAUAAAACGGGCUUUAUUUAUUCCCCUUAAAUAUGUAAAUAUGUAUUUAAUGCUCAUAUUAUUUAUGUCACCCACAAGUAAGUUGGGAAUGUGUGAUUAAGUUAUUAACGCGUAAUACACAAUAAUAAUAAUAAUAAUAAUAAAUGUUGUGUGUGUGUGCAGAUGUUCAGGAA